UGGUGGAGUGAUUUGUCUGGUUAAUUCCGUUAACGAACGAGACCUCGACCUGCUAAAUAGAAAUCCCAAUUCAAUUUCUAUUGAUUGGCGAUGUUCUUCUUAGAGGGACUAUCGGUGCGUAGCCGAUGGAAGUUCGAGGCAAUAACA
This 147-nucleotide ribosomal RNA is filed under the name uncultured eukaryote. RNAcentral describes it as "partial 18S ribosomal RNA". It matches the Rfam family "Eukaryotic small subunit ribosomal RNA", at positions 1299 to 1458 of the family's 1831-position model. The record is from RNAcentral.